This 170-nucleotide ribosomal RNA is filed under the name uncultured bacterium. Its description in RNAcentral is "partial 16S ribosomal RNA". It matches the Rfam family "Bacterial small subunit ribosomal RNA", at positions 338 to 524 of the family's 1533-position model. The record is from RNAcentral.
CCUACGGGAGGCAGCAGUUAGGGAUCUUGCGCAAUGGGCUAACGCCUGACGCAGCGACGCCGCGUGGGGGAGGACGGCCCUCGGGUUGUAAACCCCUUUUCGUGGGGACGAGGAAGGACGGUACCCACGGAAUAAGCACCGGCUAACUCCGUGCCAGCAGCCGCGGUAAU